RNAcentral lists this ribosomal RNA (433 nucleotides) under uncultured bacterium. RNAcentral's name for it is "partial 16S ribosomal RNA". It matches the Rfam family "Bacterial small subunit ribosomal RNA", at positions 29 to 507 of the family's 1533-position model. The record is from RNAcentral.
AACGAACGCUGGCGGCAUGCCUAACACAUGCAAGUCGAACGAGACCUUCGGGUCUAGUGGCGCACGGGGGCGUAACGCGUGGGAACCUGCCCUUAGGUUCGGAAUAACUCACCGAAAGGGGUGCUAAUACCGGUUGAUGUCUUCGGACCAAAGAUUUAUCGCCUUUGGGUGGGCCCGCGUUGGAUUAGCUGGUUGGUAGGGUAAAAGCCUACCAAGGCGACGAUCCAUAGCUGGUCUGAGAGGCUGCUCAGCCACGCUGGGACUGAGACACGGCCCAGACGCCUACGGGACGCAGCAGUGGGUAAUAUUGGACAAUGGGCGCAAGCGUGAUCCAGCAAUGCCGCGUGAGUGAUGAAGGCCUUAGGGUUGUAAAGCCCUUUUACCCGGGAUGAUAAUGACGGUACCGGGAGAAUAAGCUCCGGCUAACUCCGUG